This 429-nucleotide long non-coding RNA is filed under the name Androctonus crassicauda. The record is from RNAcentral. Lineage: Eukaryota; Metazoa; Arthropoda; Arachnida; Scorpiones; Buthidae.
AUUGCCUGCUAGGAUAUUUUUUCUCUUGCCUUGGUUGCCACUCUGUAAUUUUCUUUGUCCAUCGGUUAUCUGUAUACUGUAUCUUGCUAUAAGGCCUGCCCGACGCCAUUUAAUGCUUCUAACUGUAGCCAUUAUGUCUUUUAUUUUUGUUUGUUCUUUUAUCCAUAUGUUGAUCUUGCGGUCCUUCCUGGAGAAUCCUAGCAUGUAUCUUUACAUGUAUCUUUGGGUUUCUGCUAGUUUCUGUUCCAUUUUCUAUGUAAAGGUCUAUGUUUCACAGCCAUACAUCAUUGCUGAUAGUAUGUACAGUCCUGUGCAAAAAGUUUGUCAGGUUCUGUCUAGGAGAGGAAGUGGCUGACUCACCAUCAAUUAUUACAUCAGGCAUUAACAUCCGAAGACAUCUUGAAAUAGAAUGAACUCGACCAUUGUCUU